This is a long non-coding RNA of Mytilus trossulus (common blue mussel), 428 nucleotides long. RefSeq lists it as uncharacterized. Lineage: Eukaryota; Metazoa; Mollusca; Bivalvia; Mytilida; Mytilidae. The record is from RefSeq and is a predicted model, not a curated record. The transcript is spliced from 3 exons.
GUACAAUACUAAAAUUUAACUUAGGUUAUAUAGCUUCUUAAUUUUUUUAAAUUUUAAAACGGUAGAGAAAUUCCAACAAAUUCUGCUUUUCCAUUGAUAUAUGUUUGUAUAAGCUUGUAAACCUAUAAUGACUUCAUGUAGGAAUUAUUAUUUAUAUUUUGAUUUUUCUUACAGAGAUACAAAACACGAUUUUAAAAGGACAAAGAUGUAAUGGGUGAAAAUGGAAGAAAAGAAAAAGAAAUACCAAACAAGAUUUUCCAGGGAUUUACAGGUCAUUGGUGAAAAUUGAAGAAAAGAUAAAUGAAAUAACAAAAAUAGUUAAAUGAUUUACAACCAAGCAGCACUCAGCAAUAGUGAUGAUGGUUAAACAAGAUUUAGUGCCUACCACACAGUUAAGAAAGCAUGAGAUACGAGAAUGUCUAUAGGAC